Artibeus jamaicensis (Jamaican fruit-eating bat) is the source of this 260-nucleotide long non-coding RNA. RefSeq lists it as uncharacterized. The record is from RefSeq and is a predicted model, not a curated record. The transcript has 3 exons. Lineage: Eukaryota; Metazoa; Chordata; Mammalia; Chiroptera; Phyllostomidae.
UCUCUUCGGUCCAUCAAUACCAAAGAGACGAAGGUCAUCUCCUAAGGCUCUGCGGAUAGCUCUUCCCAGCCUGCCACAUGGCUGCUUCUGUCAAAAUGGAACCGAAUGAAAGUGUGACCACAUCUCUGCAAACUCAUCAGUGCUGAGGGCCUAAACGAGCAACCCGAAGUUCGCCUCUCACAGACAGGCAGGUGCUGGCACAUGCUGCGGAAAAGAAGUGACGGGACAGGCAGGUGACAGGACCUGCUGACGCAGAGUCA